AAGCAGCAUUAUUGAAUAUCUCCAGAAAUAGGGCUAGCUUGAGGUAUUGAAAUGCCAAGAGCUAUUAUAAGAGAAAUCAAUCUGUUGGGCGGUAUUUCCUGAAAGCGCCUGACUACUCUCUCACAUCUUGUUACCAGACCCAACUCAGCAUUAGGAACCAAGAAGGAAUGCCAAGAAUGAGUAUUUUUACUCAAAACCCCUUAACUAUAGCAGCGCUUGGAACCUUAUCCUCCCCAAAAGAAAUGUCUCUGUCCUUUGUCAUAGAGGAGAGUGCUUCUCUUUCACUAUGAGCAGGGAGCAUGGCAAGAUGGGGUUUAGAGUGUGCUUUGAGUGUUCUUUUAUUCCGCACUUUUUGAUUCUCUUUGUAAUAACAUUAGAAUCAAACCACAUGAGUUAAUAAAUGGUAAUCCCACAGACCUUAAUGGAAGAUGAAGGUUCAGUGAGUCUAUUUUUCCUGUAAUGCAGCAAAGAGAGUUCAGGUAAGUUCAUGUGAUUGGAUGUUCCAGUAUUUCUUUCAGGUCCCUUCAUGCUUCUGGCUGUGUAUUCAGGUUUUUCAAUCAAGAACAGCCUUUGAGAGAGCUCGGGCAGGAACAACUAAGUCUUCAGGUUUCAGUCCUGGGCUAGCUUCUGCAGUCAGAACCAUACACCACCAGAUUGGUCUUCCAGAGCACAACUCUGCUAGUUGGCACAGAAAUGUGAAGGUUAUAGCAUGCAGUGAGAACAGAGUUCAAAGUGGGUGAUGCUCUUGCAAAUGAGUAGCAGAAGACCUGCUAUUCUCUAAACCUGAAACAUUCUCUAAACCUGAAACAAGCCUGGUUGCUGCAGUCAGCUUGCAAGGUCUUCUGUGUGAAGUGUCUUACUGACAGUGAAAACUACCAUUUUCUGUAGGAAAUCUUCUGGUAAUUAAUCAUAUUUUCUAUUUUCCCCAUUAAUUCUACUAUAAUCUGAUCAUGCCCGAUACAGCUUUCCAAGGACUUUUAACUGCAACUCUUCCACCACCAUUCACUGAAUAUCAGUCAGGUGAGAUUGUUGCACUGGCCAAGAAAAAACAUUUAAGACUUGCACUGGAUUUUCAGACUGAAAGGGGUAAGCCUGGGAUGACAACAUGCCUGAUGCUGUCUUAGAGAUAUCAUCUAUAACUAGGUAUUUGUUAUUUUGAUUGAUGUGUUCAUAUGCUUCCAGGUAAACACAAAUGUUAAAAUGUUAAAAUGUUAAAAUUAAUAGUUAAUUAGAGGAACUACUGGCCAUAACAACAAUAAUUGAAUAUUAUGGUAGCAACAAUGGUUUUUGUGCACUCACUGAUCACUAAUGUCUCCUGUCUCCUUUGUUUGUGCAGACUGCUCAAAGAACUGUCUAUUCCUCACAUUUACCAAGCUGCUCCAGAUGGGGACUCUGAAGGAAUGGAGUGAAAGUAAUACCAAGGAAAUUGUUCAAAAUUUGUUCAUGAAGAAAACAAGCUCGAGAGGGACAAGGGAUGUUCAGGCUCCAUUCCACUUUCCUUCACAGUGGCUUUUUCGUAAUUCAAAUGUCAUAGGCUAGAUCAGUAUAUUUACAAUGAGCUCUUCAGUCUCUUCUUUCAAGGAUCUUGCCUCUUCCAAAAGAGAGAUGUGACAGUUUCAAGUGGAAUGGUUCUUGCAGGUGAUUUUCUUUAUAUGGACAAAGUAAAACCAACAAAACCAGAACAUAAUAAACCUCACAUACCCAGUGAAGAGAAUAAACUU
Cyanistes caeruleus (blue tit) is the source of this 1721-nucleotide long non-coding RNA. Lineage: Eukaryota; Metazoa; Chordata; Aves; Passeriformes; Paridae. The record is from Ensembl.